RNAcentral lists this ribosomal RNA (484 nucleotides) under uncultured bacterium. RNAcentral's name for it is "partial 16S ribosomal RNA". It matches the Rfam family "Bacterial small subunit ribosomal RNA", at positions 30 to 507 of the family's 1533-position model. The record is from RNAcentral.
AUUGAACGCUGGCGGCAGGCCUAACACAUGCAAGUCGAGCGGAUGAAGGGAGCUUGCUCCUGGAUUCAGCGGCGGACGGGUGAGUAAUGCCUAGGAAUCUGCCUGGUAGUGGGGGAUAACGUCCGGAAACGGGCGCUAAUACCGCAUACGUCCUGAGGGAGAAAGUGGGGGAUCUUCGGACCUCACGCUAUCAGAUGAGCCUUGGUCGGAUUAGCUAGUUGGUGGGGUAAAGGCCUACCAAGGCGACGAUCCGUAACUGGUCUGAGAGGAUGAUCAGUCACACUGGAACUGAGACACGGUCCAGACUCCUACGGGAGGCAGCAGUGGGGAAUAUUGGACAAAGGGCGAAAGCCUGAUCCAGCCAUGCCGCGUGUGUGAAGAAGGUCUUCGGAUUGUAAAGCACUUUAAGUUGGGAGGAAGGGCAGUAAGUUAAUACCUUGCUGUUUUGACGUUACCAACAGAAUAAGCACCGGCUAACUUCGUG